GAUGAACGCUGGCGGCGUGCCUAAUACAUGCAAGUCGAACGCUGGAAAUCUAGCUUGCUAGAUUGAAGGAGUGGCGAACGGGUGAGUAAUACAUAAGCAACCUACCCACGAAGACUGGGAUAAUCUCUGGAAACGGGGACUAAUACCGGAUAGGUAAUCGGAAGGCAUCUUCUGAUUAUUAAAGGUUAAAAACACUGGUGGAUGGGCUUAUGGCGCAUUAGUUAGUUGGUUAGGUAACGGCCCACCUAGACGAUGAUUCGUAGCCGGCCUGAGAGGGUGAACGGCCACACUGGGACUGAGACACGGCCCAGAGUCCUACGGGAGGCAGCAGUAGGGAAGUUUCGGAUAUGGGGGAAACCCUGACCGAGCAACGCCGGGUGAGUGAUGACGGCCUUCGGGUUGUAAAGCUCUGUUGUAAGGGAAGAACGGUAGAUAGAGAAUAUCUAAAUGACGGUACCUUACCAGAAAGCCACGGCUAACUACGUG
Molecule: ribosomal RNA, 486 nt
Filed under: uncultured bacterium
Lineage: Bacteria
Description: partial 16S ribosomal RNA
Rfam family: Bacterial small subunit ribosomal RNA
Source: RNAcentral